AGGGCGAGCAGGGGCGGCCUGGCCGUGGCGCGGGGCAUGUGGUGGCUACCCUUCUAUUCCGGCGGGGGACCGCGGAGCCAAGGAGGGACCGGAGUGAGGGCGAGAGUAGGUGAGGGGGGGAGAGGGUCCGCUAGGGGAGAGGUCAAAGCGGGGUGAGGGCUUGCGGAGGCAACGGCGACAACGGCAGCUGGAGCGCCGGUAGUAGCGGGGGGUGCGGCUCGACCCUCCAGGCCGCCUUGGCGACAGCAGAUGAAGCAGAAGGAGCGGGUGCUCCAGUUCGGCCCUCGGGGGUGUAGCUGGCCUAGCUCCAGUAGAAGUUGGAGGCGGGGCGACGAACGGCAGAAGCUAAGCCGGAGUAGCCUUGGAGGGGCUCGGGCGAAACGAGUGGAUGUCCGAGCUAUCUACAGCCUCGGGUCCUAGGUCUGCGGUGGAAACUGCUGCUUAUGGUGUUGGGGCUCCCACGGAUGAUGAUGCACCUCCUGCGGUUGCUGGUCCUCAUCAAUCCUCCGAGGGUCCGUCCUCCGGAACGGAGAAGCUAGCAUCUACGAAA
Molecule: ribosomal RNA, 550 nt
Filed under: Triticum aestivum (bread wheat)
Lineage: Eukaryota; Viridiplantae; Streptophyta; Magnoliopsida; Poales; Poaceae
Description: partial small subunit ribosomal RNA
Source: RNAcentral